This is a long non-coding RNA of Myotis brandtii (Brandt's bat), 1350 nucleotides long. RefSeq lists it as uncharacterized. NCBI's taxonomy places the organism in Eukaryota, Metazoa, Chordata, Mammalia, Chiroptera, Vespertilionidae. The transcript has 4 exons. The record is from RefSeq and is a predicted model, not a curated record.
AUCCCGUGGUGCCGCCCGGCCCGGAAGCCGCCAGAAAAAGGAGCCACAAAAGGCCGGGAAAGGGGAUGGCGUGCAGGUGCGGGGAGGAGCUCGCCAGCAGGCGGCACUGCGGGCCGAAAACCACACACAGGUCGGGGUAUUGACGACCCCUAUUGGGCGACGCAGCGGACCUGACCUAGUAACGCAGGGUGCUCGCGUGGGUCCAGCUCCGCACGAACUGCCGCAGUGAUGCUCACGGAACCCUCAUCAGCAGCCAUCCUGUCUGUCCUGCUCCUAAGCCCUAGGGUGGGCCGAAGGUGAGCUCUUCUUUUCAAGGCUGAAGUCCUCAGGUCCUGACCUCCACUCCAGAGUUCCUCCACAGAAGCCUGGGGCCUAGCGCAGACCUGACUUAAAGGAUGAGCAGGCAGAAGUGGCCCAGAGUCACAAAUCCCUUAGAUUUGUUAGGAGUACGGAGUACUCACCUGGUGGGCUACAGUGUCUGCAGCAUCCAGUCAAUACUACCUCCAAGAUUCAUCAUCAAAUCAGCAUGCUUCUCUUCAUUUCUACUGCCACUGCCCAGGCACACCUGGCCUACUGCAAGCAACUCUCCACAGAUACAAAGUUCAGAAAAACUGAGAAAAUGUGCUGAAGAAGAUACCGUGCAGGAGGCCAGCCACCUGCUGAGCUGGGAGUCACAGGUACAAGGCCAGCAUGUUGAGGUGCAGGUGACCACUGAGAGCUGUCAAGUGCUCAGAGUCGAUCCAGGCCGUGAUCAGCCCACCAGACUCCUGGAAGAUGACACAAUGGACGGAGAGUAGCGACCGUUGAUUUCACUUCCACUGUGAGCCAGGCUCAGCAUGAAGCUGUGCUCCAUCCCCUGGUUUUCCACUCGGGCACGAAGAAAGAGGCAUCGUGAGCUCAUCUUCCUGACCGGAGCUGGAGGUGAUGGAGGAGAGGUGGCCAGGGCGGGCCUUGGUAUGUCGCCAGCUGAGGGAGUGCCUGCCUGAGGUGGGUCCUUCCGAACAGACCCAGAGCUGUGGCCGGCAGGCAGGGCGGGGAGGGACGAAGGGGAGAGGGCCUCAGCCCCAGCUGCCUGCAGGUCCGGGGAGGCCCUUGACCAGGGGAGCCAUUCUCUCAAUUCAAGCACCACCCCUGCUACCUCUAGGAGGUGAGAUGCCCAGGCCCCUGGACGGGUGUCUGAGGGAGAGCCGUGUUUCUGUGCAGGCCUAUCAGCAACGAGGGGAAAGCAGGAGGGAACGGGACCGGUCAGCUCAGCCCUGGGGAAACCCAUUACCUUCAGGUACCAUGCUCAUGUCUGUGGCAUCCAGAUACAGCUCUGAGCCUCAUUCCUUUCUUUUUUAAAAAUAUUUU